This 75-nucleotide ribosomal RNA is filed under the name Salvator merianae (Argentine black and white tegu). Lineage: Eukaryota; Metazoa; Chordata; Lepidosauria; Squamata; Teiidae. The record is from RNAcentral.
UCUUGGAAUUUAGGCAGGCUGCAUCUGUUUUGUACUUGGAUGGGAGACCACUGGGAAACCCAAAUAGUACAAGCU